Molecule: ribosomal RNA, 253 nt
Filed under: uncultured bacterium
Lineage: Bacteria
Description: partial 16S ribosomal RNA
Rfam family: Bacterial small subunit ribosomal RNA
Source: RNAcentral
UACGUAGGGUGCAAGCGUUGUCCGGAAUUAUUGGGCGUAAAGAGCUCGUAGGCGGUUUGUCGCGUCUGCUGUGAAAACUCGGGGCUUAACCCCGGGCCUGCAGUGGGCACGGGCAGACUAGAGUGCGGUAGGGGAGACUGGAAUUCCUGGUGUAGCGGUGAAAUGCGCAGAUAUCGGGAAGAACACCCGUGGCGAAAGCGGCUCUCUGGAACGGUACUGACGCUGAGACGCGAAAGCGUGGGGAGCGAACAGG